CAAAAGAUUCAACACAGCCUACUGAAAAGAUCUCCACUUCGUAUGAAGCCCCCAUUUUAGCUUCUAAAGAGAAUGAUCCAAAGCCUGCAGCAUCUCAACAAGAAGCAGAGGUGAAGCAAGAGGUUAAACCUGAUAGUGCUGUAGCAGCCAAUGGCCAAACUCAGCAAGGGACAAGCUUCAAGCACGACGAUGUGGAAGCCAAGCCUUCUCAAUCAUCGCAACUUCACAAUGAAGCACCACCUGCCCAAGGUCCGGAGACACGUGAAACGAGCAAAAGCUUAGGCUCUUCCAUUGUCAAUGAUGGCCGACAUGCCCCCGACAUCAAACUGGAUGCAAAGCAUAAAGAAACUAAUGAUGUGAAGGAAGUAGUGGAAGCAACAAAAACAAAAGCUGGCGACGAGAAAAAGAAGGAAGUCAAUGAUUCUAUUGCUCCAAAGUCUACCUCUGAUGCACAAAUUGUUGAAAAGGCUGAAAUCCCCAAAGAGAAGCAAGCGGUCCCCGGCACGAAGGAGUUUUUAGCAACACCUGGUUAUGCUACAGCUUCUCAACUGGUGAAGAAAAGCAAGAGCUCUGGUGCUCGGGAGAAACCUGCUCUACCAAAUGAAGAACACACCCCGUUGCACAAAAACAUCAGGGCUGACGUGUCAAAGUUUGCCAACGAAUUAGCCGGUGAAGACCACAAAAAAGCCAUUUCUGAUAGACCUGUAAGUGUGAUAACCAUUGCAGGAGAAAAUAGAGGAGCAUCAAUGCACAUGGAGUCUGAUUCCUCAAAAGGAGAAG
This 780-nucleotide long non-coding RNA is filed under the name Salvia miltiorrhiza (redroot sage). Its description in RNAcentral is "long non-coding RNA (SMIL_LNC008140)". The record is from RNAcentral. Lineage: Eukaryota; Viridiplantae; Streptophyta; Magnoliopsida; Lamiales; Lamiaceae.